This 439-nucleotide ribosomal RNA is filed under the name uncultured bacterium. Its description in RNAcentral is "bacterial SSU rRNA". It matches the Rfam family "Bacterial small subunit ribosomal RNA", at positions 32 to 455 of the family's 1533-position model. The record is from RNAcentral.
AAUCAACGCUGGCGGCGUGCCUAACACAUGCAAGUCGAACGAGAAGGUGACUUCGGUCACUGGAUAGUGGCGUCCGGGUGAGUAACACGUAGGUAAUCUACCUUCGGGUGGGAAUAACGUCUCGAAAGAGACGCUAAUACCGCAUAAUGCAGCGGGCACCUAAUGGUGAUUAGUUGUUAAAGCGGGGGAUCUUCGGACCUCGCGCCUGAAGAGGAGCCUGCGGCAGAUAGCUAGUUGGUGAGGUAAUGGCUCACCAAGGACUUCGAUCUGUAGCUGGUCUGAGAGGACGGCCAGCCACACUGGCACUGACACACGGGCCAGACUCCUACGGGAGGCAGCAGUGGGAAUUUUGGGCAAUGGGCGAAAGCCUGACCCAGCAACGCCGCGUGAAGGAGGAAAUCCUUCGGGAUGUAACUUCACAAGCAAGGGAGAGCGCGCA